GGAGGUAAAGUUGCAUUCACAGGCCUUGAACUUUUCCACAUCUCGAUUUUUACCCAUCAUCUCUGAAUAGUUCCCUAAGGCAGCCUUCAAAUGGUGAUGUUUCUUAUAAUCCAGAGUUCAGAAGUGGCUUCUCUUCAAUCUUUCUGUGGAAUUCUAAACCAUGUGAUAAAGGAGCUGGUGAAAUAAUGUCUUGCUAUGUUGCCCAGGCUGGUCUCAAACUCUGGGGCUCAAAUGAUCCACCCAUCUUGGCCUCCCAAAGUGCUACGUGUGAACCACUGCACCUGGCCAAAAAUAUUUUACUAAGAAAAAGGAGUCACCUAUUGUAUGAUUCCAUUUAUAUGAAAUAUCCAAAAUAGGGGUGUCCAAUCUUUUGCCUUCCCUGGACCAACUGGAAGAAUUGUCUUCGACCACACAUAAAAUACACUAACACUAACAAUAGCUGAUGAGCUUUAAAAAAAAAUCACAAAACAAAAUCUCAUAGUGUUUUAAGAAAGUUUACAAAUUUGUGUUGGACCACAUUCAAAGCUGUCCUGGGUGGCAUGAGAACCAUGGGCUGAGGAUUGGACAAGCUUGCUCUACAAUAUUCAAAGAGCCAGAUUUCCUUCUGCACCAGAGCCUGUGGAAGCGCCACAGUGGAAGCAGCAGAGACUGGAAGAGCAGGCCACAGAUCAGCCCUGGGGUUCAGAGGGAUCCUGACGGCUACUCCUCAAGAUCCUCUCUGUUGUGAUUCAUCCCCCCCGGGCCCUACAGUUUCUCCUUCCUGACUCUUACAUUUCUUUGGAUGGCAUCAUUAUUUACCUGUCUCCUCCCAUAGUUAGGUGCCAAGCACUGUGGAUUCUGCCCCUCAGUGUCCAGACACCCAUUU
This 865-nucleotide non-coding RNA is filed under the name Pan troglodytes (chimpanzee). Lineage: Eukaryota; Metazoa; Chordata; Mammalia; Primates; Hominidae. The record is from RNAcentral.